This is an RNA transcript of Zea mays, 1972 nucleotides long. RefSeq lists it as uncharacterized. The transcript is spliced from 10 exons. Lineage: Eukaryota; Viridiplantae; Streptophyta; Magnoliopsida; Poales; Poaceae. The record is from RefSeq and is marked validated.
GCCCAGCCAUCUCCGCCCACUCCCCGCACUCCCACCGUAUCCUCCCCUGCGUAGGGUUUAACCACUCGCAGCAGCCGCCGUGACUCGAGAAUCAUGUCAGCGCCGCCGUCGCUCAAGACCCCGGCAACCGCCGUAGCGGUCUCUCGGCGCUCGGUCGCCACCCCGAGAGCCACCGGGCUUCGCGGCGCCUGUGCUCCCCCGACUCGGCGCCUCCGGUGCUCAGCCUCCGCCGCCGUGGCCGGGGCUUCCACCGAGAUGGCUGAUGCUCCGCUGGACUGGGCAGAGAGGUCGCUGGAGGAGUUACACAGCUUGCCGGACCACGACACGUUCUGCUUGAUGGCGCUCUCGCCGCUGGACGGGCGGUACGAUCGCUUCGUCAAGGAGCUGAUGCCCUUUUUCAGCGAGUUCGGCCUAAUCAGAUACCGCGUUCUCAUCGAGAUCAAGUGGCUACUGAAACUUUCUCAAAUUCCUGAGAUCACUGAGGUGCCUCAGUUCAGCAAGGAAGCUCAGUCCUUGUUGAAUGCCAUUAUUGAGAAUUUUUGCAUAGAUGAUGCAAAAGAAGUUAAGAAAAUCGAGAAAGUAACCAACCAUGACGUGAAAGCCGUGGAGUACUUUCUGAAGCAAAGGUGCAGCUCAAAUCCAGAGAUUGCAAAGGUGUCGGAAUUCUUCCAUUUUGGUUGUACCUCUGAAGAUAUUAACAAUCUAUCACAUGCAUUGGCUUUGAAAGAGGGGGUAAAUAAAGUUAUGUUCCCUGCCAUGAUCGAUCUAUGCAGAGCAAUGUGUUCCUUGGCAACACAAAAUUCAGGCUACCCUAUGUUGGCUCGAACUCAUGGGCAGCCAGCAUCACCAACAACUGUGGGAAAGGAGAUGGCAAACUUCGCGGCCAGAUUAUCUGAUAUAGGAAAGAGUUUCUCAGAGGUGAAGAUACUAGGGAAAUUUGCUGGCGCUGUUGGCAAUUACAAUGCUGAUGUGGUUGCAUAUCCUGAAGUUGACUGGCCUAAGGUGGCAGAAGAGUUUGUUAGAUCCUUGGGUUUGCAGUUUAAUCCCUAUGUUACUCAGAUUGAGCCUCAUGACUACAUAUCAAAGCUCUUCAAUCUAUUCACCCAGUUUAACAAUGUGUUGACUGAUUUUGAUAGAGACAUGUGGUCCUAUAUAUCAUUAGGCUACUUCAAGCAGAUACCAAAGGCUGGUGAAGUUGGUUCUUCCACUAUGCCUCAUAAAAUCAACCCCAUUGAUUUUGAAAAUAGUGAUGGCAAUUUAUGUCAAGCGAAUUCUAUAUUGUCUGGUAUAAGCAUGAAACUACCAAUAUCCCGGUUGCAGCGUGACCUAACAGACUCGACUGUUUUGAGAAACCUGGGUAUGGGAUUAGGUCAUUCUCUAUUGGCUUACAAAGCUACCAUGCGUGGAAUCAGCAAGGUUCAGGCUAGAACUACUAUGCUGAAUUGGUGCCUUUACAGUUGAAUGAAUCACGUUUAGCUGAAGACCUGGAGCAAACUUGGGAGGUCCUUGCUGAGCCAAUACAGACAGUGAUGCGAAGAUAUGGGAUACCUGAACCUUAUGAGAAGCUGAAGGAACUGACGAGAGGCCAAGCUGUCACCAAGGACAGCAUGCAGCAAUUCAUUAAUGGUCUAGACAUACCGGAGGAGGUUCGAUCGAAGCUUUCGAAGCUAACCCCGCAUUCCUACACUGGGCUAGCGGAGGAUUUGGCCAGAGACAUCGAGAAGUGGGUUGAUCUUGAAUCUGGAUUUCAGAUCAAGUGAGCUCCCAUUUGACAACAAUGGAGAAAAUAAAUAACAGACGGGAACCCUAGGAAACGAGAAUCCAAUGCUGGAACCAAGGUGCCGUUUGGUUCACAAAUUUGUAACGUAAUGGGUAACGAAUAACGUUAAAUCAUGUUUGUUUUAGUCCAACUGUAAUCGAAUACUACACUAAAAAUUGAUACCAGCCUAUUCAAAUUUGUUACCGCCAGUAA